This 652-nucleotide ribosomal RNA is filed under the name uncultured Bacilli bacterium. RNAcentral describes it as "bacterial SSU rRNA". It matches the Rfam family "Bacterial small subunit ribosomal RNA", at positions 66 to 705 of the family's 1533-position model. The record is from RNAcentral. Lineage: Bacteria; Bacillati; Bacillota; Bacilli.
GCUGAAGGAGGAGCUUGCUUCUCUGGAUGAGUUGCGAACGGGUGAGUAACGCGUAGGUAACCUGCCUGGUAGCGGGGGAUAACUAUUGGAAACGAUAGCUAAUACCGCAUAAGAGUAGAUGUUGCAUGACAUUUGCUUAAAAGGUGCAAUUGCAUCACUACCAGAUGGACCUGCGUUGUAUUAGCUAGUUGGUGGGGUAACGGCUUACCAAGGCGACGAUACAUAGCCGACCUGAGAGGGUGAUCGGCCACACUGGGACUGAGACACGGCCCAGACUCCUACGGGAGGCAGCAGUAGGGAAUCUUCGGCAAUGGACGGAAGUCUGACCGAGCAACGCCGCGUGAGUGAAGAAGGUUUUCGGAUCGUAAAGCUCUGUUGUAAGAGAAGAACGAGUGUGAGAGUGGAAAGUUCACACUGUGACGGUAUCUUACCAGAAAGGGACGGCUAACUACGUGCCAGCAGCCGCGGUAAUACGUAGGUCCCGAGCGUUGUCCGGAUUUAUUGGGCGUAAAGCGAGCGCAGGCGGUUAGAUAAGUCUGAAGUUAAAGGCUGUGGCUUAACCAUAGUACGCUUUGGAAACUGUUUAACUUGAGUGCAAGAGGGGAGAGUGGAAUUCCAUGUGUAGCGGUGAAAUGCGUAGAUAUAUGGAGGA